This 24-nucleotide non-coding RNA is filed under the name Arabidopsis thaliana (thale cress). The record is from RNAcentral. Lineage: Eukaryota; Viridiplantae; Streptophyta; Magnoliopsida; Brassicales; Brassicaceae.
UUCACUCGACCAAUCACUCUACCA